This 253-nucleotide ribosomal RNA is filed under the name uncultured bacterium. RNAcentral's name for it is "partial 16S ribosomal RNA". It matches the Rfam family "Bacterial small subunit ribosomal RNA", at positions 524 to 776 of the family's 1533-position model. The record is from RNAcentral.
UACGUAGGGUGCAAGCGUUAAUCGGAAUUACUGGGCGUAAAGCGUGCGCAGGCGGCCAUGCAAGACAGAUGUGAAAUCCCCGGGCUCAACCUGGGAACUGCAUUUGUGACUGCAUGGCUAGAGUGCGGCAGAGGGGGAUGGAAUUCCACGUGCAGCAGUGAAAUGCGUAGAGAUGUGGAGGAAUACCGAUGGCGAAGGCAGCCCCCUGGGUCAAUACUGACGCUCAUGCACGAAAGCGUGGGGAGCAAACAGG